AAACCAACCGGGAUUGCCUCAGUAACGGCGAGUGAAGCGGCAAAAGCUCAAAUUUGGAAUCUCAGUCUUUUCAGGCUGCGAGUUGUAAUUUGAAGACGUAUUUUGGGGUAAGCACAUGUCGAAGUUCCUUGGAACAGGACGUCACAGAGGGUGAGAAUCCCGUGCGAUGUGUUCACUGCCUUUUGUAAAAUGCUGUCGAAGAGUCGAGUUGUUUGGGAAUGCAGCUCUAAGUGGGUGGUAAAUUCCAUCUAAAGCUAAAUAUUGGCGAGAGACCGAUAGCGAACAAGUACAGUGAUGGAAAGAUGAAAAGAACUUUGAAAAGAGAGUGAAAAAGUACGUGAAAUUGUUGAAAGGGAAGGGCUUGAGAUCAGACUCGGGCAACCGGGCCAGCAUGGGGUGGGGGAGUAGGAUAACCCUGCAGGAAAGUGGCUCUGCUUCGGUGGAGUGUUAUAGCCUGUAGCUAUACUGCUACCCUCGCCCGAGGACUGCGGAAACAAGGAUGCUGGCAUAAUGAUCUUAAGCCGC
Molecule: ribosomal RNA, 525 nt
Filed under: [Candida] sp. NCAIM Y.01946
Lineage: Eukaryota; Fungi; Ascomycota; Saccharomycetes; Saccharomycetales
Description: eukaryotic LSU rRNA
Rfam family: Eukaryotic large subunit ribosomal RNA
Source: RNAcentral